GUAAUUUGUAAUCAUAGAAACAGAAUGUUCCUCCUCUUAUUUCUUCCCUGCCAACAGUUUCUGGGUGGGUGAAUGUCAGUAGCUGGAGUUAUUUUUAAACAGGAGAGGAUAAUAUAAACGUUUUCUUGAAAGCUUGUGAACAGAUUGGAUUGAAAGAAGCCCAGCUUUUCCAUCCUGGAGAUCUACAGGAUUUAUCAAAUCGAGUCACUGUCAAGCAAGAAGAGACUGAUAGGAGAGUGAAAAAUGUUUUGAUAACAUUGUACUGGCUGGGAAGAAAAGCACAAAGCAACCCGUACUAUAAUGGUCCCCAUCUUAAUUUGAAAGCGUUUGAGAAUCUUUUAGGACAAGCACUGACGAAGGCACUUGAAGACUCCAGCUUCCUGAAAAGAAGUGGCAGGGACAGUGGCUACGGUGACAUCUGGUGUCCUGAACGUGGAGAAUUUCUUGCUCCUCCAAGGCACCAUAAGAGAGAAGAUUCCUUUGAAAGCUUGGACUCUUUGGGCUCGAGGUCAUUGACAAGCUGCUCCUCUGAUAUCACGCUGAGAGUGGGGCGUGAAGGUUUUGAAAGUGAC
RNAcentral lists this small RNA (572 nucleotides) under Pongo abelii (Sumatran orangutan). RNAcentral's name for it is "processed transcript". The record is from RNAcentral. Lineage: Eukaryota; Metazoa; Chordata; Mammalia; Primates; Hominidae.